Triticum aestivum (bread wheat) is the source of this 692-nucleotide long non-coding RNA. RefSeq lists it as uncharacterized. The record is from RefSeq and is a predicted model, not a curated record. Lineage: Eukaryota; Viridiplantae; Streptophyta; Magnoliopsida; Poales; Poaceae. The transcript is spliced from 3 exons.
UGAUUUCUUCUUUGCAUUGCAAUGAUGGUGAACUUGUUGUGAUGGCAUAUUGUAGGCACGCCUAGAGGAACAAAACAAGUUGCGGCAGGAAGAAACCAGGUUGCGGUAGGAGGCUCAGGCCAAUGCACAACUUCAACAGGACCAAGCCAUGAAAAUGCAACAAGCCCUCUUGCAACAACAGGAAUUCAUGGUCAAACAACAGUCAGCCCUGCAGGAGACGUUCGCUCGGUUGAGAGCUAAUAUGCAGGGUUCUACUUUGCCAGAUCUUCCUCUCCUCUUCCGCCUCUUCCUACUUUUAGCUUUUGUUCUCAGUCGGGACAAGACUCAAAUAACUUCGUGGUACCUGGAUCCAUACCUACCCAAGCAAGCCCAGUGACUCCCACUACGGCUCAUGGCGCUUCGACCUCCUUGCAACAAUAAUCACUCGAGGUUUGCAUCGUGGAUGCCAUUGACGGUGGGCAUACAUGCUACGGUGGAGCUCAUUGCAUCUUUGAGGUUCAUGCUUGGUGUGAACUUGGAACUCAUGCUUUUGUUUGUGAACCUUGUUGGAUAUGCAUGCAUGUUGUUGUGAACCUUGUUGGAUAUGUACCUGUGUGGACUUUGACCUCAUGGUCAAUUUGUUAUGGUUGUCUAGUUGUAAUAUAUUGUUGUUGUGAACCUUCAUUGUAAUAUACUUGUUAGAUCUAUAUAUU